RNAcentral lists this ribosomal RNA (471 nucleotides) under uncultured bacterium. Its description in RNAcentral is "bacterial SSU rRNA". It matches the Rfam family "Bacterial small subunit ribosomal RNA", at positions 125 to 579 of the family's 1533-position model. The record is from RNAcentral.
CUGACCUUUUACUGGGGAAUAGCCCGGAGAAAUCGGAUUAUACCCCAGUAACAUCAUCAUGAGAGCAUCUGAGUAUGAUUCAAGAUUUAUCGGUAAAGAUGGGCAUGCGUGACAUUAGCUCAGUUGGUGAGGUAACGGCUCACCAAGGCGACGAUGUCUAGGGGAUCUGAUGAGGACUAGCCCCCCAUACUGGUACUGAGACACGGAUCCAGACUCAUACGGGAGGCAGCCAAGUAAGGAAUCAUCUGGUCAAUGGAUGGCAACUCUGAACCAGCCAUGCCUGCGUGCAGGAAGACGGACCUAUGGUUUGUAAACUGCUUUUGUAACACGAGAAAACCCUCUUACGUGUAAGAGGCUCGAUAGUCAUGUUAAGAAUCAAGGAUCGGCUAACUUCGUGCCAGCAUGCCGCGGUAUAUACGAAGGAUCCAAGCGUUAUCCGGAUUCAUUGGGUUUAACGGGUGCGUAGGCGGU